RNAcentral lists this ribosomal RNA (193 nucleotides) under uncultured fungus. RNAcentral describes it as "partial 26S ribosomal RNA". It matches the Rfam family "Eukaryotic large subunit ribosomal RNA", at positions 84 to 281 of the family's 3401-position model. Lineage: Eukaryota; Fungi. The record is from RNAcentral.
UAGCGGCGAGUGAAGCGGCAAGAGCUCAGAUUUGAAAUCUCACCUAGUGUGCGAGUUGUAAAUUGCAGGUUGGAGUCUCGGGUUAGACGUGUGUGCAAGUCCCUUGGAACAGGGUGCCACUGAGGGUGAGAGCCCCGUAUCGUGCAUGUCGACACCUGUGACGCCCUUCUGACGAGUCGAGUUGUUUGGGAAU